Molecule: microRNA precursor, 65 nt
Filed under: Tupaia belangeri chinensis (Chinese tree shrew)
Lineage: Eukaryota; Metazoa; Chordata; Mammalia; Scandentia; Tupaiidae
Description: Tupaia chinensis (Chinese tree shrew) microRNA tch-mir-141 precursor
Gene: tch-mir-141
Rfam family: mir-8/mir-141/mir-200 microRNA precursor family
About the family: The bounds of the precursors are predicted based on conservation and base pairing and are not generally known.
Source: miRBase by way of RNAcentral
CAUCUUCCAGUACAGUGUUGGAUGGUCUGAUCGUGAAGCUCCUAACACUGUCUGGUAAAGAUGGC